Molecule: ribosomal RNA, 195 nt
Filed under: uncultured bacterium
Lineage: Bacteria
Description: partial 16S ribosomal RNA
Rfam family: Bacterial small subunit ribosomal RNA
Source: RNAcentral
UCCUACGGGAGGCAGCAGUAGGGAAUCUUCCACAAUGGACGCAAGUCUGAUGGAGCAACGCCGCGUGAGUGAAGAAGGGUUUCGGCUCGUAAAACACUGUUGUAAGAGAAGAAUGACGGUGAGAGUAACUGUUCAAUGUGUGACGGUAUUUUACCAGAAAGGCACGGCUAAAUACGUGCCAGCAGCCGCGGUAAU